Non-coding RNA from Struthio camelus australis, 480 nucleotides. The record is from RefSeq and is a predicted model, not a curated record. Lineage: Eukaryota; Metazoa; Chordata; Aves; Struthioniformes; Struthionidae.
AUUUUUCCAUGUGGGAACAUGCCGCGUUUUACCACCUCCUCUCAAAGGAUGUCAAAGACCGAAGGAGAGGCCGGGCCUCCCUGUCUCCUGGAAGUACAGUUGCCUAACCAGAGCAGUGGAAAAGAGGUUAAGCGGCUGCAGCUAUCAAGGAGAAAGAGUAACCCUGGGAUACAAGCACUUCCAGAAGCUCAAUGUAGAGAUGCAUGCUUUAUCAUCCAGUAAUUUGGAGAAAAGGCUGCCUUGAUCACCCCAAAGCACCAAGGAAGCUGAGGAAGGCCGGAGAAGAGGGGAAAAGAUGCUGGAAAUGUCUUGAAGCAUGGAGAUUCUCUAUUGGAAGGAGAAGCGAUUCAGACAUGAGCCUAGAAGCUUCCAGUGGCAGCGCGAGUCAGAGGAAUUCACAGAGCUCAAGUUGUGUUCCCCGCAACCUCAGCCUUCCUCAAGCUGAGGGUCUGGCUUAGGUCACUGUAAAGGUAGGAAUGG